GUUGCAAUGAAGCUUAAAGAAAAAUGUCUAAGAAAGUGAUAUGCAAGGGAUGCUUGAAGAAGCCAGGAUUCCAACUAUACAAAGUUUCCUUUAACCAUCGGAAAGAAUUUUUAAAGCAAUAUACAUUUUAAGGAAUGGGUAACUUGGACCCCUGAAAAAUUUUUUUUGUCAAAACUAUCAUUGUUCUUCACGUGAAACAUUAUAUAUACAUGUAAUACAAAAGGUAGUCGAUCAAUUUGUAAUCAACUUUCAUCUAUCACCAGAACCUUCCAAAAACUGUAUGACUUUGUCUUGUGUUCAUAUUUCUUGUGUUCAUAUUUGUUUUCUCCAAUUCCAAUCUCUAAGCAAAAGGAUGAUGACUUCUGAAAAAACAACCACACUUAACCCAGAUUUCAAAUUGUGAUUAGUGCCCAACAAUGUCAAGUAACUCUCUUGUAGAAGAGGACAUAUGCAGCAGACGUUUUGAUCCUAUCCUCGCUAACAGAAGAAACAUUCUCAUCAUCAAAUUCAUACCACCUACAAUGGCCAUGAUCAACAAAUGCAGUAUAGUGACCACCUCCCAUGCCUCCAUAAUGAUUACUUAUAGCAUACAGUUCAUAACGAUUAGAAAAUUGGCCAUCCUUGUGAGCCAUGUAAGUUGAAAGAUCAAAAUCCUCAACUGGGAAGUCAACAUAUGUUUCCAGCUUGUUCUUAAUGAUUCGACUGUAUGAGAACCUCUUUAAAUGAACAACCAAUAUUUCUGGCAAUCUCCACAGAUCCAACUUUUUACUAGCUUGUCGAGGCCUUUUACAGCUGGGACAGUACCACAUGUCUUCUGGUCCCAAAGGCUCUUCCUUCAAAAAUGCUUCUAGGCAUUUAUACAAAGAAACAGACUCUUGAGGCCUCCUUGCGCAAAACUGCGACUUAAAAACCUCAGGCAAAGAGCUAAGAACGUAUGUAUCAUAUCUCUCAACCAUCUUUUCAGACCAGAGAACAUGCACUUCUAAUCUAUUGUUAUUUGGAACCGGUAACGGUUUAUUCAUCUUUAUUUCUGUCAAUCCACCAUGAUCAUCUUUGAUACAGAACUGAAAAUCAGUACUGAAUGGAGGGUCACUAUUUGUUUCACCAUCAGAGUCUGCAUUACUAUCAGACACAUUUGGGCUAGGGACAUCCUCCAUCGCAGAAUCUUCAUUAGCUGUGAUUCCCGAUUCAUCACCAUCAUUUAAUACAUCAUCAGCAGGCAUUAGAAAUGGAUUAAGCAGUUUCAGAUACUUUCUACGGAGAUCAAAUCCAUUAGAAAGAUCAGACAAUCUUGCUACAAGAGGAAUGCCAAAUAACUUCCAAUUUGGGGCUGCUCUCUCCAAUACAGAGGGCCUGUCCAUUAGUUCAUGCAUAAACACAACCAAGGGGGAUGCCUCAUUAACUUUGGGCAACUGAUAGGCAACAAGAUUGUCAUCAUCUCUGAUCAAAGCUAAUGAAUCAGAUGGCUCCUCCAGGAAACGGAAUAUUUUAUUCUUGUAUAUCUCAACCACUAGCAGGGUUUUGUCAUUUCUUAAGGAACAUGCAGUGCUCAAGGCAUCAAUAAGAUCCUUUAACCUCCCACAAUUUGGCACAGAUACAGUAAUAGGAGAAUGCAGGGUAAUCCCAUCACUGCUCAACAUGGUCAAAGUCAUAGUCCGCAUUGUUGUCGAGGGUAAUGGCAGUGAUAGGUACAUAAAUGGAUCAAAUGUAACAGACUUCUGCUUGCAAAUGGGGCAAACCAAUGUUGAACGAUAUUGACCUUGGUACAAAUCAACUAUAAUGGAGUCAUUGCGAGCCAGGUGAUUCUGCCAAUAUUCAUCUGCCACUUCUUUGUCUGAACGGUUAUCUGCAUCUUUCACUUCUAUGUACGGCUUGCAUUUCACAUGAUUCAAAUCUUCAUGCAGUCCAUCCAACAAAAAGGAAAGAAAUUCUUGAGAAUCAUGCUGAUUAUAUCCACUGAACUGAGGAGCAAAUUUAGCAAGUUUUAGCUUGAACAUUCUAGGAGCAACUGGGGAUGCCCCUGGAGCCCAUAGCUUCCUUAAUAAGUCUCCAAAUGCCAAAGCAAGCUCACCAUUCAUCCCUAGCGGAUUUUCACGAUUUAUCUCUUUUCUGUAAUCUCUUAGAAAAUAAUCAACAAGCUUUGGAGUGUGUGCCAAGCACUGAAUUGCACUAUUCAUGAAACAUGUAUUCCCAAGAUUCUGUAAUCCUGUCAAACCCAAGAAACGAACUCUUCUAUAGCCAUACCCAGAAACUGGUGAGUUUUUGGGCAUUGAAAAGGAGUUCAUGUAAUCACUGGUUCCAUUCAUUUUAACCGAACCACUGCUGAAGGAACUAUCUUUUCUGUCAUGUUCUAUCAUCUCAUCUGCACUUUCAUCCCUACUAUUCUUGGAAUCUGAAAAUCCAUGGACUUGCAAUUCAAGGAGAAUCUCUUCAGCAAAUUGUCCCAUAGAACCAUUAGGCAAGUUAAUCCUCUCAUUCACAAACUGGGUUGUUUGCCCUGAGAAGUCCCAAAUGUGCACCUGCUCAGCCUUGGAAACAAAAAUAUCACAGGCUUUCCUGUAAAAAGCAAUCAUAUUGUCCUGUAAAAUUGAAGUCAAUUGUGAAGUGAAAAGAAGUAGACUAACAAAAGAAUAAAUUCUAGAAUUGAGCAUCAGUAAUUGCCAAAAAAUAUAAUAUACAUUUAUACUCCGUAAUUGCAAUGAAAUUUCAGUAUAUGCUCACCUUAAUGUAAUUGAUCUAACUGAAAGACAUGUUGGCAAGGCCUUACAAAAAUUUUUCUGUAUGUGAAUGCCUCUUCUAAUUUAAUUCCCAUGUACAUUGUGUUUAAAAGGAUGUCAGAUACAGAUUCAGUGUUUGAAGAUAUGCAACUCAUUCACGAAUCAUCAUUCCACAUGUCAGCCAUAAAAAUUCAAUAACGACAGCAAUUACAACAAAGAGAAAAAAGCCAGAAUAGAAAACUUUACCUUUAAACUGAUCUUCACAACCAAAGAAUUUGUUUCCCAAGAAACUGAAAGCCUAAUUUGUAAAGGAAAGACAUGUUCUAGAUCAUCUUCUGAAAGAAAAGGGUGAUGAACAUCCUUCACUGCCUUUUUAGAAUCAUUAUGCCAUUUCAGUGCCUGCAACCACAUUGUCCCAGAGACCAAAGCACACUCCUGACCAGAAAACCCUUCAGCUGCAUUACUACUUUUCCUGGAGUCCUCUAUCUCCCUUAAAUCCAGUACAAUUUCCAUAUCAUCAUCAUCAUUACUUACUGACACAUCAUACAAGACUCCCGUUUCAUUAGCACCAAUUUGCGUCUCCCUCCACCAACUGCAGGGAACCAAGUAAAGCUUGUCAACGCCAUUGUCGUCAUCGUCGAGAAAGUAACGGUAAGAGUGAUUGGAAGUGGAGGCAGAGGAGAAUUCGAGGUCGAGGAAGUUAUCGUCGGCGGUGGAGAACAAAUCGUCAUCCAUUAGAGAAGGGACAAGAGCUAGGGUUUUGAGGAAGAAAGAGCGAGCGAGGGAUUUGCAGAGUCGGAAAGUGGAGAGAGAAAAGUAAGAAAGCUUGAGAGAGAGGAAGCGGGUGGAUUCGGUGAUUAGCGAGAGACGCAGCUGCUGUGCGAGACGGUUCAUAGAGACA
RNAcentral lists this unclassified non-coding RNA (3618 nucleotides) under Hevea brasiliensis (rubber tree). Lineage: Eukaryota; Viridiplantae; Streptophyta; Magnoliopsida; Malpighiales; Euphorbiaceae. The record is from RNAcentral.